Long non-coding RNA from Struthio camelus australis, 6772 nucleotides. RefSeq lists it as uncharacterized. The record is from RefSeq and is a predicted model, not a curated record. NCBI's taxonomy places the organism in Eukaryota, Metazoa, Chordata, Aves, Struthioniformes, Struthionidae.
GGCGCGACCCCGUCGAUGUGGAUAGGGCCCUUCCUCCCAGCGACCGUAUGUGGCGGCCGGGGACAGUGCUGCUGGUCUGCGCUGAAAGCCUUGGACACACCGGGCUACAUCUUGCAGGCUCGUAGAAAAAUGGGAACCAAAGAACCUUGUAUGUGUUGCCUUCAUUAGUCUGAAAUCUACUUUCAAUCCCAAGGACAGAUGUGAAUGAAGCAAAGAAAUAUGCUGCAGAUGUGAACUUGAAUGAAAUUACUCCGCUGUCUAUAAUCAGUGAUACUGCAAGAAUUAACCAACUAAACAAGAAUUUACAAAUAAAACCUAAGAAGUCUGGUGAAGCCUGGGAACUUGGAGGAGAAAUGGGAUCAUACAGGAUGCGGCCUUUCAUUCCAUCUGCUUUCAGCUCUAUUCAAACUGCCAAGACAUGACGAUGUAUACAGCGCCCUGACCCACUCUACUAAGCUGUGGCUAUGCGGAAGGUAAAAAUUCUGACCUCUAUCCAGUCUGGCAUCAUGAGAAACACUCUAUUCCACUCCCAAUAAAGGUGAAGUUGCAGUUGCCAUAUUAAAAUAAUAAUAAUGUUAAUAAUUCUAUAGUAAUCCCUGCAGCAAGAAAGGGCUCAGUCUGAUAUGGAAGGUUUAUGCUGCCUUUUUCAUAUGUUCAGAAGACUAAAGAAUUAACACUAAAGAAUUGGGAAUAAAGAUAUGAUAUUUGGGCACUUCCCCCUUGUCAGUUUUGCUACAUAUUCUAUUCUCGUUCUUUGAGAGGGCAGAAUAAUACCUGCACAGUGCUUCUAUAACCCAAUAUACUGAUAUCCAAAGCUUAAGAAGGCCACACUGUUCGUAGGAACUCCUUACAUGUCCUUCUGUCUCUGCCGGGUACAAUGGCCUGUGAGACUCCUGAAAUGCAACAUCCAUAGAAAACCAUACAUAAGAGAAUACAUUUUGUUAUGUUGCAAAGAAUAAAACAGCAUCAAAUCAAAAUUUUCUUAUUUUCUAAAUAUCAUUAGAAAUUGUUAGUCUACAAUCUUCAUUACAUACAGGUUGACAAAUUGCUCUAAUGGUAUUAGGAAUGGAAUUCUCAGACUGAGUUAGGCAAUUUUUCUAUGAACUCUGAGUUGUGAAAGCCAUCUGCAGGAGUAUUAAAAAAACAAUUAAAAAAUCCUUAAUCCUUAGUGUUUUAAAACUGAAGUGAUCUCUCUAAAAUAAAUAAAGCAAAAUAGUAGCUUCUAGAAAGUCUAAAAAUUAUACAAAACUCGAUUUACAAACGUUUAAUCUGCAAGGGCAGAACUUAAAUACUGUAGAAGAUUACCUGAAAGUAGGAUCAGAUUAUAGAGAGCAUAGACUUUGCUAUUUUAAAGCCUUCGAUGGGAAAAUCUCAUAGUAUUUUUGCUUUACUUCUGUCAUUGUAGAGAAUGGGUCCUUGUGUCUCUCCCAGGACGGAUUUUACUCUCCUCUUCUAUUAUAGUAACUAAAACUUGAAUCAGUGAAGCUGUGAAAUAGGAAAAAGAAUUAGAAGCUAAGAAAAGUAAAAAGUUUGAAGGCAACUGAAAAUUGACAAAUAAGUGUCAGAGCAGAAAACGAUGGCAGUUUGCCAACCAGCUGGGAAAACUAAUUCAGCUUUAGAUAAAGAGAUUUUAAAGGGGAAAAGGACAAGUAAACUUCAGAAAAAGGAAGAAUAAAGGAGCAAAGAAUAAAUCCUUAGAGCUGUGUUAAAGAAGAAACAUAGGCAGUGCUUUGUUGUUUUAACUGCAGAACUGCAAGAGGGGCUUUUCAUUCAGUGUUUGAAUAGCACUGAAGAAAUAGCCAUCAAAAGAGAAAAAAGUGGAAGCACUAGGAUUUUCCUUGUUGCUGUAGCUUGUAGACCAUCCCUCAAAAAAAGAUUUAAAGUUUAAUUUUUUCUAGACAAAUAGAAAUUGUUAACGGUAAUAACUAUUUUCUUCACCAACCUAUAUAUUGACACAAAAAUACAGAGUUCCCUAUACAAAUUCAUGACAAGAAGUGGCUGAGAUAGACAAAUAAACAACUGACAAAGAAAAUGAAAUAACUGAAAAUUUCAAGGAAAGCCACCUUAACCCAGAAAAUAAAAGUAUUUUCGUGAACCAAUAUGUGAUCCUCAAGAUUACAGUCUUUUUUUUUCCCCAGUGGAUUCAUCGUAUUUGUUUUUUCAUGGUCAGAGAGCACGUACAAGUAUGUUGCGAUGAGUACCGUCUCGUCACAACAGCAGACCAAAAUAGAAAGCUGGUAUAUAAAAUAGCAUGAAAGAAGGUGGUCACAGGUCUGUUUGUCCUCUCACCCUCAUCUGUCACCAGGCCUUUUAAUCAGGCUGUGAAUAGCAAGUCAGCAAGAUAUAAUGCUGCUGGUUAUUAUGCAGAGAUCUAAUGACUGCACCUACUCUGCCCAAUUAUAGCAUUUUCAGAAGUGCCCUUGAGAUGACAUCUCCUGACCAUUCAGAUUAUAUAGCGCUUCAUGCACCCCUCUGGGUGCCCUGAAAACACCACCUCUGAGCUCACAAGAGGAUUCCUUGAGAGUGCCAGGCUCUCAGAGUGACCCCACAUAUGCACUUUGUACGAACUGUAUCCUUUCACCUCCAUUAGGCACAGGUUCAGUCUGCUGCAUGAAAUUCCCAGAGCAGCAUGGCAUGACUGACCAGCUUCAUGUUGCACUUCAGAGCAUCACCCUCUAUGUGAGAUAGAUUUACAGCAGGAUGCAUAGGUCUCUCAAAUUAUCACAUGCACCGUUGAGAAAAAUCUCAAAUUAAAAAGUCAAAAACACUUUUGGCUUGCAUCAAACAAAAGCCUUGACACGUAUAACUACAAUAAAACUCAGGGACAGUUCAUCGCUUAUGUUUCAGAUGUUUCUUAUACAUUUUUUUUGGAGAGGGAAUUAUGAAUGAGAAAUAUCCCCCCAAAGUAUAUUUUGUAAUGCUACGAAGAAAAAAAGGAAUGAUAUGCUAUUUUACUGUGAAUUUACUAUGCAGAAUUUCAAUGGAUCAUUCAAGCAGAAAAAAAAAGGGUACUGCAAAUAAAUUAAAUUUUCAUCCUGAGCUGCAGUACUGUUGUCAGCACAGGUUACUAAACUGUGAAAUAAGAAAAGAACAUGGAGACCCUGUUUGCACUUAGUUGCAAAUAAACUGUAGAAUAUGGUAUCGUUAGACAUUUCAGUUGUGAAAGUUUCUCAUUUCCUGCAAGCUUAGGCAAAUGAGGGAUUUAAGCUAUAUUUUACUUUUAUGGCUACAUUUUCCGGCAGUCAGCUGUUUCAGAUUGACAAUAAAAUGCGUAAUGGUGGUUCUUCGUUUUUCUUUUGGGAAGUUUCUUUGGCAGUUUUUAUCAGCUCAAUAAUUGUUCUUCUGCUGCUCACCAGAGUUGAAGCCUAUACUUUCAGUAAGGCAUAGCAAAAGAGGAUGUUGCCUUUGUGUCUUCCAUGAUACUCAUCUCAGCCUAUAAGACACAAAACUUUGUCACCAUCUUUUACUUUUUACUAUAUUUCCCAAUUCUUAUUUUUUUCAUUAUCUGUAUAUUUGUGCUACUAUAUCAGCUAUUUUUAUAUGACUUUUCAGAAAUUGGAGGUGCUUUAAUUCAUUGCCUGUUCUUUUAUAAUUAUUUCUCCCAUUGGAUAAACAUACCUCAUGGUAGGUAUGACCUCCAAAUAUGUCCCAAAUGUGGGACGUAUUAGAGCCAUACACAAUGAUUUUGUUCUCAUCAAACUUCUAUAAGCACAAAUGGGAAAAGAAGGAAAAUUGUUCAGAAAAGCUAUCACUUUACAACAAGUACCUUUUCAUUCACAUCCUUCCUAUGAUAUGGAGUUUUCCUGCAAAGUCUUUUCUGAUACUUUACCAAAGAAAAAAGAGAAAAUAAAUCACUUGAGACAACAUGUUUUAACUACCUGGACUGAAAAACUGAUCUCACAAGUUUCAAAUGGCAUUCUCCCCCUCACCUUCAAUGGGUCUACCUGAAUGUGUCCCAAGCUAUUAUUUAUCAUCUGUGGAGGAGUGCAAACUCCUUAGGAUAAAGACAGUACACCUACAGUACUGAGAGCUUUGGUAGUGCUUGAUAACAGCAUAUUUUGUGCUAAUUUUUCUCUAGUUUUUAAAUGCUGUUUCUUAAUUGAUAUUUGUAUGGUAAAGGUGUUGCUAGCAGCUAAGUGAGAAUUUGUGAGUCAUGAGAAAAUAACUGGCAGACGUCUGCUAUGGAUUUCCAUUCUGUUCUUCUAGAUAUUAAUAAUAAUUGCCUACGAGGACCGGAAAGGCUGUAAUUCUCAUUAUAAUAAAGAUUUUUGAUGUAGGUGGGCUUAAUCAAAUGAAUAACUUCACUGACAUUAAGGGAAUUACUGAUGUGAACAAGAGUUUGUGCAAUCAAGUCAAUAACUGAACUGACAGUUCUUAAACCAUAAGAAAGAGGGAGGGCUGGAGUUGUGGUUGUCCUUGCGUGUGUCAAGUUCAGAUUAUGGUGCACAGGUUCCGGGAUACUAAGAGUGUUAUCUGCAAGCCCAUUAUCUUGCAAAAGCACAAAAAGCAUUUAUGGCAUAUGGAGCUGGGACUUCUAAAUUCCUUUUUAGUAUGGGUCUUCAUGUUACUGCAUGAUUCAUUACUGCUGCUUAUGGACUGCUCCCUGAAAAACAGCAUGCACUAUUGCUAUAUUGCUAUACUAUUACAUCUUUAUUGCUGAUAAAAUCAGGCAAUGCUAAGAGAAGCUUUUUUUUUUUUUUUGGUCAGACCAUAAAAAUGAAGUGUUAAUUCUGGCUUUAGCAAUGUCUAAUUAGUAACAGCUCCUAUACACAAAGUUCCCUUAUUUUUAUCGGCUUGAGUUACACUGCAUUUUUUAUAAAGUGUUCCAUAAAAUGAUUUUUAUCAUUUCUUUUAAACUUCAUUAUCUUUUUGAUGACACAGUAAUUUUCAUUUCUAUUUUUUUAUCUCCUUUUAGCCAAUUUUCUCACUUUGUGCUUUCUCUACAGCAAUGCAUGCUUUUAUCUAUUUAUUUUGAUAACUUUUAAUGGAAAUAUACUUUUUCUCAAGUACAUCCUAGUACUUUCAUAGGCGAUGUACUUGCGUUUUUGAAACUAGUGGCCCCAUCCAGCACCUAUUAAAGCUAAUGAAACUGGGGUUUAGUUAAAAUUCUAGAAGAUGAACAGAAUAGCACAAAACUGAAAAUGACAAUGCAGAUAGUUUGUAGCCAUGUAUUGAAAACAGCUAGCUGCGAUAAUCUUCACAAUCUGUACUAAGGAGUACUCCUCUCUUUGAGUCAAAGAAAGACCUUAGGUACUGUAAAGACUGGUUUACUGUUAGAGUACGCUUUUAUCCUCUAGCUGAAAAAUAGAGCAGGGAGCUCAAGUAGUUUGUAAGACAAGCAGCUUGAUGAAACUUGUUUAUAAGCUUUUUAUCUUCCUGUGAAACAAUUCAGUAAGCUUUUCCAAAAGUUUUUUGCUGAGUUUAUAUUCAUCACUUUAUGCUUUCCAAAAUUGGAGGGAGGCAUUACUCUAUCCUUUUUUGGAUUCUCAAUGUCUCCUAUGAAAAAGUUGUUAAAAUUACUUACUGUGGGCACAGUAAGAUUGCAUUUACUGGCUUUCCUUAAAAAUAUUACAACACAAAGGCUAUUUCAAUUUUAAAUAGAUAAUAUUUAACUUUUCUCCAUGACAGCUUUUCAACUAAUGAAAAACCUAAUUCCUUUUCAGUUAGCUUAAGAGACUAAAUCAAGUGCAAACUCUCACCAAUAAAAUCAUUACUUGUAUUAAUUCUUAAUCCAUGUCAGUAUAGCACUGCAUUUCCUUAACAUUUUUUUCCAGGCUGCAUCAUUAUUUGCAGAUCACUAAGUGAUAGGACCUGCAGACAAAACAGCUGCAAGAACAAAAAAUCUAUUUUUGAUUGUAGUCAUGAACAGAUGUUUUUUGCAACAUAGUUUACCUGUAUCAGAGGCUUCAGCUGUUAAACACUCAUUUUCUUUUUCUACCCAGUCUUUCUUACUGAGUCUUUUCUUUCAUGCUUCACAGAUGGUAGAGCCCUACCAGUGUUCUGCCAUUCCAGCAAUGCGUGCAAUAUUCUAGCAGAAAAAUACAUAACAGAAUUACUGCUUGUCCAAAUGAAAGUUAUUGAUUUGUUUCUUUUAUACAGUUAAUACAGUUUAAUAUCUUCUGUCUCCUGAGAUUUGGCUUUACCACCUAAGCAGUUAAAGUCAUCUAGCUUGAUGAUUUUCACAUUUCUUUGGCUAUUGGUAGCGCACAGUAUUGGUUUUGUAAAACCAUCUGAAUUUCAGAAAUGAAAGGUCAGUCCACUAAGUAAAAUACUUUAAAAAAAAAUAAUUAUAUCAGAGAAUUAUAAUGGGUUUGUAAGUGUAUUACUACCUGCUGAAAAUGUUCAUAAAAUCUGCACUGUUUUCAUAAAGUGCUAGAAGAAGCUUCUGCUGUUUUUUUAAUAUUGUGUUUCUAUUCAGCAAUACCCACAAAAUAUCCAGUGUGCCCAUUGUUCUGGUACUGGAUAUAAGAGCCUAAAGCCUGCUAACGUUAUGCUGUAGAAGCUUAUGACGUCUUCUGAUCUGUACUUUUUGCCCUUAAUGCUCAGUAAGAAAACGUGGUACCUUCUGUGAACAGAUGUAGAUGCAAGAUAGUAGCAAAUUGACAAACUCCUAUUCCUUACAUACUUGUGCUGCCAAUUAGGGUGUAUUUAGCCGAACAUUAAAGUAAAUUAACAAUUCUAACGUUAACUGGUUUUCUUUUCUUACAGGUAUCUGUAAAUUACUACAGAGAGCAUUGAGUAGAUGACGCUACGUGUCAGGGCGCCGCCCGGG